RNAcentral lists this ribosomal RNA (497 nucleotides) under uncultured bacterium. RNAcentral describes it as "partial 16S ribosomal RNA". It matches the Rfam family "Bacterial small subunit ribosomal RNA", at positions 28 to 507 of the family's 1533-position model. The record is from RNAcentral.
GAUGAACGCUGGCGGCGUGCCUAAUACAUGCAAGUCGAGCGAACGGACGAGAAGCUUGCUUCUCUGAUGUUAGCGGCGGACGGGUGAGUAACACGUGGAUAACCUACCUAUAAGACUGGGAUAACUUCGGGAAACCGGAGCUAAUACCGGAUGAUAUUUUGAACCGCAUGGUUCAAAAGUGAAAGACGGUCUUGCUGUCACUUAUAGAUGGAUCCGCGCUGCAUUAGCUAGUUGGUAAGGUAACGGCUUACCAAGGCAACGAUGCAUAGCCGACCUGAGAGGGUGAUCGGCCACACUGGAACUGAGACACGGUCCAGACUCCUACGGGAGGCAGCAGUAGGGAAUCUUCCGCAAUGGGCGAACGCCUGACGGAGCAACGCCGCGUGAGUGAUGAAGGUCUUCGGAUCGUAAAACUCUGUUAUUAGGGAAGAACAUAUGUGUAAGUAACUGUGCACAUCUUGACGGUACCUAAUCAGAAAGCCACGGCUAACUACGUG